This 464-nucleotide ribosomal RNA is filed under the name uncultured bacterium. Its description in RNAcentral is "partial 16S ribosomal RNA". It matches the Rfam family "Bacterial small subunit ribosomal RNA", at positions 28 to 507 of the family's 1533-position model. The record is from RNAcentral.
GACGAACGCUGGCGGCGUGCUUAACACAUGCAAGUCGAACGGAAAGGCCCUGCUUGCAGGGUACUCGAGUGGCGAACGGGUGAGUAACACGUGGGUGAUCUGCCCUGCACUUCGGGAUAAGCCUGGGAAACUGGGUCUAAUACCGGAUAGGAGCCAUUUUUAGUGUGAUGGUUGGAAAGUUUUUUCGGUGUAGGAUGAGCUCGCGGCCUAUCAGCUUGUUGGUGGGGUAAUGGCCUGCCAAGGCGGCGACGGGUAGCCGGCCUGAGAGGGUGGACGGCCACAUUGGGACUGAGGGACGGCCCAGACUCCUACGGGAGGCAGCAGUGGGGAAUAUUGCACAGUGGGCGCAAGCCUGAUGCAGCGACGCCGCGUGGGGGAUGACGGCCUUCGGGUUGUAAACUCCUUUCGCUAGGGACGAAGCUUUUGUGACGGUACCUAGAGAAGAAGCACCGGCUAACUACGUG